GACGAACGCUGGCGGCGUGCCUAACACAUGCAAGUCGAACGGAACUGUUUUGAAAGAUUUCUUCGGAAUGAAUUUGAUUUAGUUUAGUGGCGGACGGGUGAGUAACGCGUGAGUAACCUGCCUUCAAGGGGGGGAUAACAUUCUGAAAAGAAUGCUAAUACCGCAUGAUAUAUCGGAACCACAUGGUUUUGAUAUCAAAGAUUUUAUCGCUUGAAGAUGGACUCGCGUCCGAUUAGUUAGUUGGUGAGGUAACGGCUCACCAAGACCGCGAUCGGUAGCCGGACUGAGAGGUUGAACGGCCACAUUGGGACUGAGACACGGCCCAGACUCCUACGGGAGGCAGCAGUGGGGGAUAUUGCGCAAUGGGGGCAACCCUGACGCAGCAACGCCGCGUGAAGGAUGAAGGUUUUCGGAUUGUAAACUUCUUUUAUUAAGGACGAAAAAUGACGGUACUUAAUGAAUAAGCU
This 467-nucleotide ribosomal RNA is filed under the name uncultured bacterium. RNAcentral describes it as "bacterial SSU rRNA". It matches the Rfam family "Bacterial small subunit ribosomal RNA", at positions 28 to 492 of the family's 1533-position model. The record is from RNAcentral.